Molecule: ribosomal RNA, 463 nt
Filed under: uncultured bacterium
Lineage: Bacteria
Description: SSU rRNA
Rfam family: Bacterial small subunit ribosomal RNA
Source: RNAcentral
AGGACUAACGCUGGCGGCGUGCCUAACACAUGCAAGUCGAACGAGGUAGCAAUACCUAGUGGCAGACGGGUGAGUAACACGUAGUCAACCUUCCCGAUAGUGGGGGGUAACUAGCCGAAAGGUUAGCUAAUACCGCAUACGAUCUUCGAGUGGCAUCAUUUGAAGAUGAAAGGAGCAAUCAGCUUUCGGACGGGACUGCGUCCCAUUAGCUAGAUGGUGGGGUAAUGGCCUACCAUGGCAACGAUGGGUAGCUGGUUUGAGAGAGCGACCAGCCACACUGGGACUGAGAAACGGCCCAGACUCCUACGGGAGGCAGCAGUGAGGAAUUUUCCGCAAUGGGCGAAAGCCUGACGGAGCGACGCCGCGUGUGGGAAGAAGGCCUUCGGGUCGGUAAACCACUGUCGAAGGGAAAUACUGAUGGUACCCUUGGAGGAAGCCCGGCUAACUACGUGCCAGCAGCCGC